GACGAACGCUGGCGGCAUGCCUAACACAUGCAAGUCGAACGCGACCUUCGGGUCUAGUGGCGCACGGGUGCGUGACGCGUGGGAACCUGCCCUUAGGUUCGGAAUAACUCCCCGAAAGGGGUGCUAAUACCGGAUAAUGUCUUCGGCCCAAAGAUUGAUCGCCUUUGGUUGGGCCCGCGUUGGAUUAGCUAGUUGGUAGGGUAAAAGCCUACCAAGGCGACGAUCCAUAGCUGGUCUGAGAGGAUGAUCAGCCACACUGGGACUGAGACACGGCCCAGACUACUACGGGAGGCAGCAGUGGGGAAUACUGGACUAUGGGCGAAAGCCUGAUCCAGCAAUGCCGCGUGAGUGAUGAAGGCCUUAGGGUUGUAAAGCUCUUUUACCCGGGAUGAUAAUGACAGUACCGGGAGAAUAAGCUCCGGCUAACUCCGUG
RNAcentral lists this ribosomal RNA (433 nucleotides) under uncultured bacterium. RNAcentral's name for it is "partial 16S ribosomal RNA". It matches the Rfam family "Bacterial small subunit ribosomal RNA", at positions 28 to 507 of the family's 1533-position model. The record is from RNAcentral.